GCCAUUCUCAGGAAGUGGCAUUUAAAGGAAGACAUGAAAGAUGAGAGGGCACCAACCAGCCAGCAGAAGGAGAAAGCCAGGUGUUCCAGAUGAAGGGGUUGACUGCAGCUGAAAGAAUGCCACGGUGUACUGAGAAGAGACAGAAUGAGAAGGAAGGCAGCUGCUGGAGCUCUGGAGGUAACCUGGGCAUGAGACACUCAGAAGUCAAGGAGCCAAGCACCCAGGCAACCCAGCCAGCCUGCGGACAAGGAGAAGCCACGGCAGGUGUGAACAGGGUGUGGCAGGGGCGCCCUAGCAGCAG
Long non-coding RNA from Rhinopithecus roxellana (golden snub-nosed monkey), 301 nucleotides. RefSeq lists it as uncharacterized. Lineage: Eukaryota; Metazoa; Chordata; Mammalia; Primates; Cercopithecidae. The record is from RefSeq and is a predicted model, not a curated record. The transcript is spliced from 3 exons.